GAUGAAGAACGUAGCGAAAUGCGACAAGUAAUGUGAAUUGCAGAAUUCAGUGAAUCAUCGAGUCUUUGAACGCACAUUGCGCCCCCUGGUAUUCCGGGGGGCAUGCCUGUCCGAGCGUCAUUGCUGCCCUCAAGCACGGCUUGUGUGUUGGGCUCCGUCCCCCCGGGGACGGGCCCGAAAGGCAGCGGCGGCACCGAGUCCGGUCCUCGAGCGUAUGGGGCUUUGUCACCCGCUCUGUAGGCCCGGCCGGCGCCAGCCGACAACCCAUCAUCCUUUUCAGGUUGACCUCGGAUCAGGUAGGGAUACCCGCUGAACUUAAGCAUAUCAAUAAGCGGAGGA
RNAcentral lists this unclassified non-coding RNA (339 nucleotides) under soil metagenome. RNAcentral's name for it is "partial contains 5.8S ribosomal RNA, internal transcribed spacer 2, and large subunit ribosomal RNA". The stretch from base 1 to 120 matches the Rfam family "5.8S ribosomal RNA", at positions 35 to 154 of the family's 154-position model. The record is from RNAcentral.